UACGAAGGGGGCUAGCGUUGCUCGGAAUUACUGGGCGUAAAGGGCGCGUAGGCGGGUCGUUAAGUUAGAGGUGAAAGCCCAGGGCUCAACCCUGGAAUUGCCUUUGAUACUGGCGGCCUUGAGUAUGGCAGAGGUGUGUGGAACUCCGAGUGUAGAGGUGAAAUUCGUAGAUAUUCGCAAGAACACCAGUGGCGAAGGCGGCUCACUGGCCCGAUACUGACGCUGAGGUGCGAAAGCGUGGGGAGCAAACAGG
This 253-nucleotide ribosomal RNA is filed under the name uncultured bacterium. RNAcentral describes it as "partial 16S ribosomal RNA". It matches the Rfam family "Bacterial small subunit ribosomal RNA", at positions 524 to 776 of the family's 1533-position model. The record is from RNAcentral.